Molecule: non-coding RNA, 762 nt
Organism: Theobroma cacao (cacao)
Lineage: Eukaryota; Viridiplantae; Streptophyta; Magnoliopsida; Malvales; Malvaceae
Source: RefSeq, a predicted model, not a curated record
AGCAAAUCAACUUACUUCUACUUUGUUUUACUCUCUUCCCCUGAAGCUCUAUUUAAGGCCUUGAUCUCCUGUGUUUUUCAAUUUCAAUUUAGAAAACUCUACUGUUCCUUUAGAAACUAUUAGACGUAAAACAUUUUUUUCCAAUUCAUUCCAGAUAUUAGAACGGAAUGGGAGGAUAUAAUCUGUACCUUAUUCCAAGUCUUUGAAGAGCGAUUGCCUUGUGCUUUCCAUUUUUAGCUUUAUGAAAAUGCAUACAUAAAAGCUUGUUUGUGCACUUAAAUGUUGUGUGUGGGUGCAUGAAUUUACAGUCAGGUAACAUGGUGACCCUCCGCACAUCCAGGCGAUUGAACGAUCAAAGUUCAUGGUUCAAGUAAUCCUGCUUCGUGGGACCGAGCCAUUAUUAUAAUUGGAGCUUAUCAUGGAAUUUGUAUACAGGUUCUCAGUUCGGCGCCAGAGAAAAUGGUCUAGGAGAUCUCUCAGAUUUGUAACUGAAACAAGAAAGCACCUGCAGCGGGCAGCGUUUUAUCAACUCUACUGCAAGUUAUAGGCGGUCUGAUUGUGUCUUAUUGACUACCUAGGAGUGGUAUUAGCGAGGUUCUGCCUUGAUGGACUAUGAAUUUGUUAUUUAGUUAUUAAUUUGACAGGGUUUGUUUUGUUGGAUCAUCAGAAUCAUUUUUUGCGUUAGAGACUUUGAAUAACCCCCUUGCCUUUGAUUUGGUACUUAAUUCGUAGGAAUUAAAUCUACAAUCUUGCCUUUGAUUU